Ruditapes philippinarum (Manila clam) is the source of this 941-nucleotide long non-coding RNA. RefSeq lists it as uncharacterized. The record is from RefSeq and is a predicted model, not a curated record. The transcript has 4 exons. Lineage: Eukaryota; Metazoa; Mollusca; Bivalvia; Venerida; Veneridae.
AGUAAGGAUAAGACAAUACGAAUGUUAAGAAAUAUUUAAUGAGAAAGUGUCUCUGUAUUAAACGCCGGUGUUUCAGGGGCGAACAUUCUGCGUAUGUCAUGAGUGCCGAUCAAGAACACCUUCUGAUAUUAUCCGAGGUGUUACGAAUUUAACUUCCUUUCUCCUGCUGCAGCCGAAUUUUUUGGCGAAAAUUUUACCUUUCUUCAUUUUGAGUGAAUUUAGCAAGGAAAACAUAGAAAAAACAACAGCAAAAGGAUGACUUUAAUGUUGCAGUGCUGAAGGCUUUAGAAUCAGAAACAGCUUACAGAAAAGGAAAGGGCCAGAAGACUCAGCCUUUGAUGCAAAUAAUUAUGCUUGAAGAUGAUGGGAAUCUUGUGAGACUUCUUUCUUCUGCACCAGAGUCGGCAUCAAAGUUGGUUGCAAUUGAGAAAGAUGAAUGUAUUGUGAAACAUGGCUAUUGUUUGUGAUGGUACACACAUUCUUCUAAAGACAGCCGAUUCAAUAGGGGCCCUAGCUGUGUCGAUUGAUUUGUAUUACCUUGCAGACCUAGAUUAUUCAAAGGCAUAUUCACAGGUGCGUGGGUUCCUUCAGCAAACUGAACUUCAGCACCAGUUUGAUGGGCAUAAGAGCUAUGGAUUUGUUCAAUAUUUAAAGAGAAUGAACAUGGAAAUGGAGAGAAAAGAAAAGAAGCCAAUGUGACUUAAGUGAUCCAGCUAUCAUAAAAGGAAAAGUUGAACUUUAAUUUCAUUUGGAUAAUUAUCAGUUUACACUUCCUCAGAAGUAUGUUUUACUUAACUAUAAUCUUUUUUGAGAGUCGUUAAUGAUGCCUUUAUAUGUAACUAUUCACACUCUUCAUCAUAAGUAUUUUUGAAGAACUGAUUUCAUAAAUUAGAUGUGAUAUUUGCCAGCUGAAAACAUUAUUGAGGGGUGAACAUCUCAUC